UGAUUACGUCAGUCAAGGGUAUGCUUUUGUCUUUGUGUUAUAAAAUGGAUGAAUUUCGUCUUUCUGGAAAAGAUUUGAUUUACGUGAUUGGGUGCAGACCAAACUCGAACAUAACAACCCUGUGAGGUAAUAAUAUUAUGACCUCCAUUUUACAUUACCUCAGAAGCAACUCAAGCAAAGAGAAACUGAGUUGCUUAUCCAAGGUCAUACAGCAGCAAUAUAGAGCCACAAGCUGAAACCAGACAGGACGAAGGCAUCUUUAGCAGACAGACUCCAUGUGUCCAGAGCCAGGUAGACUUGCCAAUUCCAACAGAAAGCCGUCCUACUUUUUGGGAAAACAAUGGCUGAAGAACAACUAACUUCACAUUCAAAGAAGAUACCGAGCUAACUGAAUUUCUUGCAGGUAAGAGUCAAGGUUGCAUUAGGCAUUUUAAUACAUUUAACUUCAUAAACAAGGACACAGGAAUCACAGAGAGUUAACUCACUCAUGGUAAGACAUAUAUUAAUUGGCAAAUUGCCUCUGGCUUUGGCACCAUCUCAGUGUGGAGAUUAAUGUGGUGGCCAUGAAGAUGCACCUUACAGCCCUCCAAAUACAGGAAGAAUAACGUCCAAGGGCCUGAAUGCUGUACCCUGAAAUCUGUACCCUGCUUUGCUUGCAUUCAGGCCAUACCUCCUGUGAGCUGCUCCAGCCAAGACUGAGUGUGGCUAGAAUACAUAAGGUAAAACCAUUCCUAAAAACUGCGGGACUCAGCUGACCACUGACCCGGGCUGACUCAAGGACUCCUCAAUGGCCUCGUGAAUCUUCCCUGGAUGGCACAGGAGUCUAGGCCACUUCACCCAACUUUCUCUUGCUCUUCUUUUCAUUCAGUCAGACUUGCUUCCUGGUCAAAAGUUUCUUCCAUCUUUUUUCUGGGCCCCUCCCCAUUUCACUCACAGUCAUUUCCCCUAGUAAUAACUUUGCACAUUUAAUCCCAGCUUGACUUCUGCUCUUCAGAGGACCCAGAUUAACACAUUUAACAGAUCAUUUAAACGUCUUAGUUUCAAUUUUUGUAUUUUGCACAUUGGGAGUUGGGGGAGAAGGCAUCCUUUAGAGAAGAGCUAAAAGGAGAAAGACUUAUUCAGUGUCUACCAUGUGCUUUAUGUUACUUCACAUAAUUAUCACAUCAACUUUCAUAUGACAGGUAGUACUGCUAUUUUACAGAAAAGGAAGGGGAAGAUGAGAGAAAUGAUAUCACUAGUUUAAGAUUACUGCAGCGUCUAGAUUUGUACUGAAGCCUAUUCUGACUUCAAGGUGUAUCUUCUCUACCACUUUCUCUCCUUUUCUAACUGCUUAAUUGUGAAGAUCAAAAAAGAUAACAGAUGUGAAAGCACUUUGAAAAUGUAAAGAUGUGUUACUUCAAAGCCAGAGAUUAUUAUUAUUUCUGUUGGUUGCGGUCAAGACCACUAUGUCAUAUGCAAGCCUGGUGCAAAGUACAAAUGUGGGGCUCCUUGUUCAAAAUUUAUUGAGACUUUGAAGAUGGCACAGCAGAGCAUUACACCAGGUAUGGGACCCAUGAACCCAGCCAUGGGAACAGCAGAAUUAUUGAGACAGGGGCAAUCAAAUUGUGCUUGUAGGAAACUUUCUAGAAGAAUAGAAAAAACAUUCUGGGGUGCCUGGGUGGCUCAGUUGGUUGAGCAGCCAACUUUGGCUCAGCUUCAUGAUCUCAUGGUUC
Molecule: long non-coding RNA, 1712 nt
Organism: Herpailurus yagouaroundi (jaguarundi)
Lineage: Eukaryota; Metazoa; Chordata; Mammalia; Carnivora; Felidae
Exons: 3
Source: RefSeq, a predicted model, not a curated record